AAGUCGUAACAAGGUAACCGUAGGUGAACCUGCGGUUGGAUCAUUACUAAAUGAUGGUUUAUAGGCUUGAGCUGAAUUUUUCUGCUCGUCUAUAAGCUUUUUCAACCCUUUGUGAAAAGUGACUGUUGUUUGGGUUGCUUUCGAAAGAGAGUUUAACCCAAAACAUUAAAACCAAUUUUAUUUUUUUAGCCUGAUUUCUAAGUUAAAAUUUUUAACAACUUUUGACAACGGAUCUCUUGGCUCUC
RNAcentral lists this unclassified non-coding RNA (245 nucleotides) under fungal sp. Its description in RNAcentral is "partial internal transcribed spacer region". The stretch from base 1 to 46 matches the Rfam family "Eukaryotic small subunit ribosomal RNA", at positions 1786 to 1831 of the family's 1831-position model. Lineage: Eukaryota; Fungi. The record is from RNAcentral.